GUGAGGAAUAUUGGUCAAUGGGCGAGAGCCUGAACCAGCCAAGUCGCGUGAAGGAAGAAGGAUCUAUGGUUCGUAAACUUCUUUUGCAGGGGAAUAAAGUGCGGGACGUGUCCUGUUUUGUAUGUACCCUGAGAAUAAGGAUCGGCUAACUCCGUGCCAGCAGCCGCGGUAAUACGGAGGAUCCGAGCGUUAUCCGGAUUUAUUGGGUUUAAAGGGUGCGUAGGUGGUUUGCUAAGUCAGCGGUGAAAGUUUGCAGCUUAACUGUAAAAAUGCCGUUGAAACUGUCGGACUUGAGUGUAAAUGAGGUAGGCGGAAUGCGUGGUGUAGCGGUGAAAUGCAUAGAUAUCACGCAGAACUCCGAUUGCGAAGGCAGCUUACUAAGCUACAACUGACACUGAAGCACGAAAGCGUGGGGAUCAAACAGGAUUAGAUACCCGUGUAGUCC
RNAcentral lists this ribosomal RNA (445 nucleotides) under uncultured bacterium. Its description in RNAcentral is "partial 16S ribosomal RNA". It matches the Rfam family "Bacterial small subunit ribosomal RNA", at positions 354 to 796 of the family's 1533-position model. The record is from RNAcentral.